UAACAAAUUACGCUGAGCCCGGGGAGAG
This 28-nucleotide small RNA is filed under the name Bombyx mori (domestic silkworm). Its description in RNAcentral is "ovarian small RNA-18535". The record is from RNAcentral. Lineage: Eukaryota; Metazoa; Arthropoda; Insecta; Lepidoptera; Bombycidae.